AGCGAACGCUGGCGGCAGGCCUAACACAUGCAAGUCGAACGCUGUAGCAAUACAGAGUGGCAGACGGGUUCGUAACGCGUGGGAAACUUCCAUUUAGUACAGAAUAGCCCAGGGAAACUUGGAUUAAUACUGUAUACGCCCUACGGGGGAAAGAUUUAUCGCUAAAUGAUGUGUCCGCGUUGGAUUAGCUAGUUGGUGGGGUAAUGGCCUACCAAGGCGACGAUCCAUAGCUGGUCUGAGAGGAUGAUUAGCCACACUGGAACUGAGCCACGGUCCAGACUCCUACGGGAGGCAGCAGUGGGGAAUAUUGGACAAUGGGGUCAACCCUGAUCCAGCCAUACCGCGUGAACAAUGAAGGCCUUCGGGUUGUAAAGUUAUUUUAGCGGGCAAAAUACUGAUGGUACCCGCAAAAAAAGCACCGGCUAACUGCGUUCCAGCAGCCGCCGUAA
Molecule: ribosomal RNA, 449 nt
Filed under: uncultured bacterium
Lineage: Bacteria
Description: partial 16S ribosomal RNA
Rfam family: Bacterial small subunit ribosomal RNA
Source: RNAcentral